CGAAACACAUCUGCCGCGCCUCCCACGCCCUCGCCUGUUGCAACUCGCGGAUCUAGUAGUCCGACUUGCGACGCUUCCUCCCUGCACGUGUGGAUACCUUGGAGGUGUUGCGCUUGCAGCACUUGGACGAGCUGCCGACGAGCCACGACGAGACGACAACGAGCCGCGGCACGAAGAUGAUCUUGCUGCACGUGGACGAGCUGCUGAGGAGCUGCUCAAUAUCAACAUGAUCGACUAUGUUCGACUACGCUGAUCGACUUCGCUGCCCCGACGCGAUUCUACAUCUUCCGCACCAGUGCGUCGAGUGGUA
RNAcentral lists this long non-coding RNA (310 nucleotides) under Setaria viridis. RNAcentral describes it as "long non-coding RNA (SVIR_LNC006486)". Lineage: Eukaryota; Viridiplantae; Streptophyta; Magnoliopsida; Poales; Poaceae. The record is from RNAcentral.